Molecule: transfer RNA, 64 nt
Filed under: Bittacomorphella fenderiana
Lineage: Eukaryota; Metazoa; Arthropoda; Insecta; Diptera; Ptychopteridae
Description: tRNA-Gly
Rfam family: tRNA
About the family: Transfer RNA (tRNA) molecules are approximately 80 nucleotides in length.
Source: RNAcentral
AUUUAUAUAGUAUAAAGUAUAUGUGACUUCCAAUCACAAGGUCUAAAUAAUUUUAGUAUAAAUA